CAGUAGCCACGGUAAAACAGAGGGUGCAAGCGUUAAUCGGAAUUACUGGGCGUAAAGCGCGCGUAGGUGGUUUGUUAAGUUGGAUGUGAAAUCCCCGGGCUCAACCUGGGAACUGCAUCCAAAACUGGCAAGCUAGAGUAUGGUAGAGGGUGGUGGAAUUUCCUGUGUAGCGGUGAAAUGCGUAGAUAUAGGAAGGAACACCAGUGGCGAAGGCGACCACCUGGACUGAUACUGACACUGAGGUGCGAAAGCGUGGGGAGCAAACAGGAUUAGAUACCCCAGUAGUCCCUGUCUCUUAUAC
This 301-nucleotide ribosomal RNA is filed under the name uncultured bacterium. Its description in RNAcentral is "partial 16S ribosomal RNA". It matches the Rfam family "Bacterial small subunit ribosomal RNA", at positions 509 to 807 of the family's 1533-position model. The record is from RNAcentral.